GACGAAGGGGGCUAGCGUUGUUCGGAAUUACUGGGCGUAAAGCGAGUGUAGGCGGCUUGCCAAGUCGGGUGUGAAAGCCUCGAGCUCAACUCGAGAAAUGCAUUCGGUACUGGCAGGCUAGAGGACCGGAGAGGAUAGUGGAAUUCCCAGUGUAGUGGUGAAAUACGUAGAGAUUGGGAAGAACACCAGUGGCGAAGGCGGCUAUCUGGACGGUUACUGACGCUAAGACUCGAAAGCGUGGGGAGCAAACAGG
This 253-nucleotide ribosomal RNA is filed under the name uncultured bacterium. RNAcentral describes it as "partial 16S ribosomal RNA". It matches the Rfam family "Bacterial small subunit ribosomal RNA", at positions 524 to 776 of the family's 1533-position model. The record is from RNAcentral.